Salmo salar (Atlantic salmon) is the source of this 3903-nucleotide non-coding RNA. The record is from RefSeq and is a predicted model, not a curated record. NCBI's taxonomy places the organism in Eukaryota, Metazoa, Chordata, Actinopteri, Salmoniformes, Salmonidae.
AGAUUUGACAGUUCUGACAGAAAUGUCAACAAACAAGCAGGCUCCGAUCAACCCGGAAAAAGGAAGUGCAAGAGCUUAAAAAUAGUUGUUUCGGUGUGCAUUCCUGGGAAUUCGACUUCAAAUACAACUGAUAGCAAAGAUUGGGGAAAUCGUUUUGAUAACUGCAGUAAAAGAGAGUUACUCAUAAAUCAUUGCAAUUCCUACAGGCGAGAUGCUGUUCACGUUAACUGGCUAUAGUUUACGUCGUCGAGCCGCGCGUCACUCCUGGGCUGAAGAAGAGCUGGCGAGAUAACUCUUUGUUUAAUGCCUGGGUUGCAGCCAGAUCUUAUCUGUCCCUGUGUCACCUCUGAAAUGACCUGACACUGAAUGUUCACCACAAUCAUAAGACAAUGGCGAGAAUAGCAUGGUAUCAAGAGAAGAUCGGUGCAUAUGAUCAGCAGGUUUGGGAGAAGUCUCUGGAACAGGCUGAACAUAAUGGCAUGGCCUGUAAACCAAAAAGGUCCGGUCAUGUCAAGCCAGACCUCAUUGAUGUUGACUUAGUAAGAGGGUCUACAUUCGGCAAGGCCAAGCCCGAUAGUCCAUGGACGGCGUUGACCCGUAAGGGCCUGGUCAGGGUGCUCCUCUUCCCCUUCUUCUUCCAGUGGUGGAUCCAGGUGACCUCCAGGUCCAUCUCUACCUGUAUCCUGGUGCUCUACUUCAUGCAAGUGGCAGCAGCAAUGUUGUACGUGGAGGUUCCUGCAGCCAGUGCUAGUGAGCAGUUGGGGCCAAUGUGUCUUAUGUUAUUGCUGGGGACAGUGCACUGCCAGAUAGUGUCCACUGAGUCCAACCGGAGCCCUUCAGUCAGUCCUGUCAGCAGCACCAGCCCUGCACGCAGGAGGAGGCUAAGGAAGGGUAAAGGAUUGAAGAGGACAGAGGGACAGGUCAACGACAGGGACACUGAGCUGCAGCCUUGGCAGCUGGAGGAAAACCAGAGGUUGUACAGAUCAGAAGAGAGGUCAAAUCAGAAAAAGUCGGGCUUUGGGGCCUCUGAUGAGCUUUCCAGUGAGGAGGAUGAUAAGGAAGCAAAACCACCCACUAGUGUAGCUGGACCAACACCUACCACUGUCCUCAGGAAGAGACACCUUCACUCCUUCUCAAAUCCCUCACCACCUGAGGAGGAAAGUAGUGGAGGUGCCAAGGACACUAAGGUGAACCCUCGUGAAGUGGAGCACCUGAGGACCGAGGGCUCGCGCCCGGCCUCUGACACAGAUGAUACGAUGUGGGAGGAUCUUCUUCAGGGGCCUGACUCCGCCACCACUGGCAGCAGUGACAGUGAGGGGCGGUACUGCCCUGGCCUGACUCUCCCCCCAUCCACCACUCUCAGCAGUGAUGAUGAGAACCUACAGCAGGGUCAACUAUCGUGGCUGCAGGCGUGCCACCCAUCCAGAGACCGGGUCAGUGCUAUCAUUUGGGAGCAGGGGGAGUGCAAGAAAGCAGACAUGUCAGUACUGGAGAUCAGUGGGAUCAUCCUCACACGGGUGAAAGUGGUGGAGCAGGGCAUGGGAUACCUAGCCCUGGGGGGGUUGGUCACUGCCACACUGGUGCUGCUUCCCUUUGCCUUCCGCCUGGCACAGCGGCUGGACAUGACACGCCUGAGCUCCCUGUCCCUGCCUGAGCUGGCUGUCAUGGCGGUGGGGCCGCCCGAUGCCAAGACCUACGCCUUCCUCUUCAUCACCACCGUGGAGAGGCUCUGCCUUACAGGCCUCUUCUUCUUCAUGAUGUGUGUGGCAGAGAGGACCUACAAACAGAGGCUUGUUUUCGCCAAACUCUUCAACCACAUCACAUCAGCACGAAAGGCCAAGAAGUCGGAAAUCCCCCACUUCAGGCUGAAGAAUGUGCAGAACAUUAAGAUGUGGCUGUCGCUCCGCUCCUUCCUCAAGAGACGUGGGCCCCAGCGUUCCGUUGAUGUCAUCGUCUCCUCCAUAUUCCUCCUGGCCCUUUCUAUCGCCUUCAUCUUGUGUACACAGCUCCUAAAGAGUCACCACACAUUCCUGGACUCCGAGACCAACUGGGAGCUCAUGGUGUGGGGCUCCUCCCUCAUCCUCUUCCUGCUCCGUCUGGCCACCCUGGGCUCCGAGACCAACUGUAAAUACAGCAACGUGUCAGUGCUGCUUACCGAACAGCCAGCUACAACUGGGUAUUCCACGUGGAGAAGCUUCUAGAAACAAUGGGGUAGUUCAACGCAGUCGUGAAAUGCAUGUGCGUGUCUCUUUGAUGUUUGUUUGAUGUUUGAGAGAACUUGAUUGAUGGUGUUUUUGGCCAAUAAAUGCAUGAUAUCCGUUGAGUGUUCACUACUUUAACAUAGAUGUGCUAUGAAAUUAAGCUAGUGAUGUUUCAAAUGUCCACUUUGGACACAUUUACCGAAAUAGUCCACUCACACCAUUGUGUUAGCUGAGACAUGCACCAUAGUUCACUGCCUUGGAUGGAGAAACACGUUGCAAAUACCAGCAACACCAAGCACCUCUGCGACCUUCAUUUCUUGAUCAUGGAUAUUAUAUUCAAUCUCCUCUGGAGGACUUGUGGGUCACACAGUUACAACGGGUAAAGUACUUGCAUUAGUUCUCCGAUCACAAGAAUGCAGCCAAGUAGGAUUCACAUCAACAUCAAAGCUCUUCUCUUUCCCUCUGGACAUGCACAGGUAUAAUUAAGUGCUUUGCAAUAAAAGUCUUAAAGGGGUACUGUCAGUAAUAAUGACUCAAUAUAGUUUCAGAAUAAAAGUAUGAUACAAAAAUCUAUGCUACAACUCUAUUGAAGCAAAAACUUUAUUAAUACAUCUCCCUCUCAAUUAUUUUCUUAUUUCAGAUCAACUUGUAUCUUAAGAUGGAAAAGAAGCCCAACAAGAAAGAAAAUUUGAACAUAGUGAACAAUGUUCUGAAGCUUGCAACAAAACUAAUGAAAGAGCUUGACACCCCCUUCCGACUGCUGGGGCUGACUGUGAACCCUCUCAUCUAUAACAUCACACGCGUGGUCAUCCUGUCUGCAGUCUCCGCUGUGGUCAGCGACCUGCUCGGCUUCAACAUCCGACUGUGGAAGAUUAAGCCUUAAUGUGACUUGCUAAACCACUAACUGUUGGAUACUGGAGACUCUGCCAACUCCUACCAUCUACAGCUGGCAAUCUGUGCAAAGUGUGCAAACCUACUGAGUGAUCGCCUAUGCAUCUCUGUGCCUUCCCAGAAACAUUGAACUUUAAAUCACACAAUACCAUUGUGGUCAUACACAAGCAUGAGCUCUUUACAAUCAAUGAUACACACAUCCCUGGCUACGUAAUCAUUGUAGCCUGAACUGAUCUGCUGCAGCAGUUCCAGUGCCAGGACCUGGACCUGGCCACUUCCUGGUUCUUACUCUGAGAAACAGUAGCCAAUGGGUGCCUAAUGAACACAGAAAAAUGUGUUGGCCAUUUCAAUAUGAACCAUUUCAAGACGUGGAAUAGGAAACAAGAAUGAACAAACUGUUAUGUAAGAAUGACAUUCCAGCGUGGUUUGACAUGUACUCGGCUGUUAGACAGCGUAAAAUACUUUUAAAAUGAAAAAUGUUAAUACAGAUCUUCAAAAUGGGUUACUGAACUAAAUUGAUUAAUUGCUUUUUUUUAUAGGAAAUAUUUAACUCUACUCUAAACCGAUUUUGUGAUAUUUUAAGGGCAACGUGCUGUAGCUUUUAUUGGGGCUUUAUUUAUUUGGGGUUUGUCUGUAUUUCAUUACUGACAUAAUGGUACACAUAGAUUGUAAUCUUUGGACCGCCAUCAUGGCCUUAGUACUGAAGACCAUUAUGUUCUGCUAAGCAACUAUUCACAGAUGGUAUAGUUUGAUUAAAAAAAUUAGGUUAUGUUUUAUUUCCUUUGAUAAUAAAUCUUUCACAAUGAUUUUA